This 64-nucleotide transfer RNA is filed under the name Pieleus irregularis. RNAcentral describes it as "tRNA-Ser". The record is from RNAcentral. Lineage: Eukaryota; Metazoa; Arthropoda; Insecta; Coleoptera; Cleridae.
AGUUGAUGAGCUUGAAUAAGCUUAUAUUUUGAAAAUAUAGGAUAGAAAUUACUUCUAUCAACUU